AAUUAUAAAAAUAAUGUAUAAUUAGCUGUCUUUCUUAGUUUAUAUAGGAAUGACCUAAGAGUAGCUGUGACUGUAAUCAUGGUGGGAAUGAAGCUAAUAUGACGUUAUUUCCUGCAUACAUGAAGGCUUGCAACGCGUCGCCAUGGAUGUGGAUGACUUCAAUUCUUCACUGCGAACACUGCUUGCAAUUCGUGACAGUCUUCAUUGCAGAUCUCUUGAGAUAAUUACAUCCAUCGCGAUCUGUGCAGUCUUCUGAGAUGAGUUCAUGAAUCCAAGGACAUCGAACUAAUCGAGUUUUCUCGGGGUAAAAGAAAGCGGCGGACCAACGUGAAACGCGUAGAGCAAAACACGGUCGGCCACAGUAGGUCCUCCGUGACUCCGUUUUGUUCUCUUAUCCUUGUCUUCCUUUCCGUCGAUAAGUUCAUCGCCGUAAGUGCACCUCACGCACUUUUCUGCUGCACACCCCCAGCCCAACACGAGUUGUUUUAGCUGGGGAAUUUUGUCGAACACUUGCUGGGCAUUCAUUGUUGCCAUAGGAAGAACAAGAGACGGACACUGGGCAAGCUUACUGUAUAUCAGAUUUGGAUUAGAACAUGUGAUGUCUGAAGAGACAUGCGAUCAAGAACAAGAGAGCGUACCGUCAAGAGUGCCUUGAGCUGCUCAAUCGAUCCCGACCUUUGAAGAGGGAGGACGGGGACAAGGAACCUCACUUCACGACAGAGAGGAUAUCAAGAGGAAGCACUACUGGUCACCGACCACAGAGACGAGGAAUUCAAGUGCCGGCGGAUAUGAUUCCGAUGCACGUCAUAAUUGCAGCCAGCGAGAUACGACGCAGCAGCCCAAUUCCAUUCGAUCAAAUUAAUUUUGACUAAUUUUGAUCGAGAUUUGAAGACGAUUUAGGAUAUAAUAUAUCGAUUCCAAUAUCACUUAUACCCAUCUCGAAUCCCCUCCUGUCUCUUACGAUUCAAACUCUAAAAAC
RNAcentral lists this long non-coding RNA (979 nucleotides) under Musa acuminata (dwarf banana). RNAcentral's name for it is "long non-coding RNA (MACU_LNC003155)". The record is from RNAcentral. Lineage: Eukaryota; Viridiplantae; Streptophyta; Magnoliopsida; Zingiberales; Musaceae.